GUCCCAAAUACUGACAAUGAGCCUUGCAAACAGACGACCCAAGUUGGAAACCAAAGAAACUAAAACUUCCAACUUCACAUGUCAAUCUCUUCUGUGGUGCUUCGAAAAGAAAAAAGUUCACAUGUUUAAAAGAAACAUUUUGUUAUAGAAAGUACCAAUGCUUUACAAGUCUCUAUUUUCGAAGUCUUAUAAUGACAAAUUUCACAAUUAAAAGUUCAUUUUUUUCUCGAAUACUUUUUAGUUUAAUAUCUAGUAAAGAGAAAUAAAUAGACUUUACUAUAUAAAGUAAAUAAACGCUUGAUUUUGAUAUACAAUCGAAUACAAUAGAAAAGUAAAAAAAUCCUAAAAAAGAUCUAAAGGACAUUUGUUGACUAUUUCUAUGUUAGCAAUAACAUUUUGAUAUUUUAGUCUGGACACCAUAAUAUUUUUAGUAGUUGUUAAUGACUUCGAACUAGCUUUCAUUAUAUUUUUUGGAAGGUUUGUGCUUUUUGAUGAUUCAACUGAUUUUUAAUAUGGAAAAUUAUUUUAUCUUGAUGUCGUAUUUACGUCUUUGUCAUACCUCAGGUUUAUUAAUUGCAAACUUGUAUGAAAUCACAUCUUCAAAGUGAGCCUAUAUCUAGGGGUUGUCGUUUGUUACUUCUUAUCCUAUCUUGUCACCGGAAAAUACUAAUCAAUUAUGCGCGCCUUUAUGACGUCAUUUACCAAAUAGAGUUGAUCACCUGUAUCGCUGCACUAUUAUCGUCCAUUAAGCGUCUUAGAGAUCUCAUUAUACAGGGUUGCCGAAAUUUGCAUCUGACAUAAGUUGAUACUACUUUGAUUGCGUCUUGAUACUUGAUCCUCUGAAUACCUUUGUCUGUCUGUUUGGGGAGUAUGAAAACGUAACUGUGAAUACUUUUAUUCUCGCCACUUCCCUGGUUUAAGACCGAGUACAUGAAAGGGGAGCUAGGGUUGCACCUGAGAUUUGCACAAUCACUAUGUCAAAAAGUACACUUUUGGAAACAAAAUCUAAAUCUGAUGAUUAUGUAAGCUGUUUAUGCAGUCGUGAAAUGUGUAGUUUUUUUUAUAAAGUCAUUUUCUUACUUAAGUUUUUAAGCGACUUUUCGGGGAACACUUAACUACGAAAAAAACCCAAAUAUUUAACCUCAUACUUGAAAAGGCCUCAUUUUCAAAACGAGAAAUCACACAUAUCGAAGUUUACGAUAUGGACAGAGGAGUUGACGAAAAUUUAUACCAUUACCGACACCAAUACACAGCAAAGCAAUGUACAAUUAUAUUUCUCGUGUAGUAAUUAAAAGUUAAAGAGAAUUCAUUUUUUAUAGAAAACAUUUCGUACUAUGCCAACAUAUUUUAAAAUUAUUCGUCAAUAAAACAUCUAUGAACUAUGAAAAUACUAUAAACUGACCUUCUUUAUCGACAAUGACACACAUUGUGGCUAUCACAAUAUGCAUCCGAAUGUCCCAAAUACAGACAAUGAGCCUUGCAAACAGACGACCCAAGUUGGAAACCGAAGAGACUAAAACUUCCAACCUCACAUGUCAAUCUCUUCUGUGGUGCUUCGAAAAGAAAAAUAUUUCACAUGUUUAAAAGAAACAUUUGUUAUAGAAAGUACCAAUGCUUUACAAGUCUCUAUUUUCGAAGUUUUAUAAAGACAACUUUCACAAUUAAAAGUUUAUUUUUUAAUUUAGUUUAAUAUCUAGUAAAGAGAAAUAAAUAGACUUUACUAUAUAAAGUAAAUAAACCUUGAUUUUGAUAUACAAUCGAAUACAAUAGAAAAGUAAAACAAUCCUAAAAAGAUCUUUUAGGACAUUUGUUGACUAUUUCUAUGUUAGCAAUAACAUUUUGAUAUUUUAGUCUGGACACCAUAAUAUUUUUAGUACUUGUUAAUGACUUCGAACUAACUUUCAUUAUAUUAUUUUGGAAGUUGUGUUUUGUGCUUUUUGAUUAUUCAACUGAUUUUUAUAUGGGAAAUUAUUUUAUCUUGAUGUCGUAGUCACGUCUUUGUCAUUCCUCAUGUUUAUUAAUUGCAAACUUGUUUGAAAUCACAUGUUCAAAGUGAGCCUGUAUUUUAGGGGUUGUCGUUUGUUGCUUCUUAUUCUCAUUUGUUUUUCGUUCAUUGUGUUCUACAUAAUUGAAGCGUUUAGUUUUCCUGUUUGAACUACUUUUGCCAGUUUGGGGCCCUUUGUAGCUUGCUUUGUAGCAUGAUAUUUGUAAGCUGUUGGUGGCCGUACGGUGACCUAUAGUUGCUUAUUUUCUACGUCAUACCACAUCUUUUUAUUUACAUAUUUACUAUUCUUUUUUUAACACUUGAAUAUAAAUUUAUUGCACUAAAGUUGUUAACAAUGACCUUACCGUUAUAGCUUUAACUGUAAGGUACCCUGAAAAUGUUAGUCCCGCUGGCCACGUUAUUACCGGUGACCUCAACAUUGUUAAUAACACUUCUCUACGAAAUGUGUUAUCGAAAGGUCCGAAAUAUCGUGAGCCUAAAUCCAUCAAUUGGAAAUUCAACUUUAAAAUUUUGAUGGAUUCAGUUGAGGAUUAUGCCAGGCAAUGGGCUAAGCGCGAGAAGGAAGACGUAGACACUCUUUCCGAAUGGAUUAAGGCAGUGAGGUCGUUGAUACAAAUCAGAAUUAAGAAACUGAAUGGGUCUAUCAAUGCCCAUGCUACGUCAAUCUUUAAGGACCCAAAUGUUGCAAAACACCUAUCCUACCCUCCAUGACAAAUAUGUUGUUGUCCCUGCAGAUAAAGCCCCAAACAACAUCGUUUUUGUAUGUAAAACUCAUUACAUUAACUGCUUGAUAAACGAAUUAGGUAUUGACAAUUCACUUGGAAACUCAACAUAUACAUUCACCACACUUACCAAAGAGGAAAUCCUGGAUAAUCAUAGGUCUGUUCUGUGUUCCUUUGGAAUUUCAACCAAGAUGAAGAACUGGAUCUGCCAUCACUGUAUUGGAUACCUAAACUACAUAAGUGUCCUUACAAACAACGGUAUAUUGCUGGGUCUUCCAAGUGCUCCACGAAACCUCUUUCUAAAUUAUUAACAUCUAUUUUAUCAGCAAUCAAAGACGGGCUUCAAAGUUAUUGUGAAACUGCCUAUUCUAGAGGGGGCGUGAAUCAAAUGUGGAUACUUAAAAAUUCCAAAGAUCUUUUAGAGUACAUACAAUCUAACUCUCUUUCAUCUUGUAAACAGUAUUAAAACAUUUGACUUUUCUACUCUGUAUACUAGUAUUCCACAUUCCAAACUAAAAGACAAAUUGUAAGAGUUGGUAUUGCUUUGCUUCGUAAAAAAGAAUGGCCAACGUAGAUACAAGUAUCUUGUCUUAGGGAGGGAUAAAUCCUACUUUGUAAAGGAUCACUCUGAUUCGAACAAACAAUUCUCUGAAACUGAUAUUAUCAAGAUGCUUGAUUUCUUGAUUGACAACAUAUUUGUUACGUUCGGAGGACGUGUUUUUCAACAGACUGUCGGAAAUUCCAAUGGGAACAAACUGUGCCCUUCUACUUGCCGACUUGUUUCUUUAUUAUUAUGAGGCUGAAUUCAUGCAGGAACUUCUUAGGAAGAAAGAUAAGAAGUUAGCACUAUCCUUUAACUCUACGUUUCGCUAUAUAGAUGAUGCUCUUUCACUAAAUAAUUCAAAAUUUGGUGACUAUGUGGAACGCAUCUAUCCAAUCGAGCUAGAGAUAAAGGAUACUAUAGAUACAGUUAAGUCGGCCUCAUAUCUUGACUUACAUCUAGAAAUUGACAAUGAGGGUCGGUUGAAAACAAAACUUUACGACAAAAGAGAUGAUUUCAGCUUUCCAAUUGUGAACUUUUCAUUUCUAAGUAGCAACAUUCCAGCAGCACCUGCAUACGGGGUAUAUAUCUCCCAAUUGAUACGAUAUUCCCGUGCUUGCAUUUCCUAUCAUGAUUUUCUUGAUAGAGGGUUGCUGCUCACAAGGAAGCUAUUAAACCAAGAGUUCCAAAUGGUGAAGUUGAAAUCAUCCCUUCGUAAAUUUUACGGACGCCAUCACGAGUUGGUUGACCGUUAUGGAAUAACCGUAUCACAAAUGAUAUCGGAUAUGUUCCUUACGUCGUAACUACAAUCCCCUUCCCUUUCCUGAAUGUGACCUACCGAAUAAGACUAUUUACCGGAUUUGUUAUCACAUAAGCAACACGACGGGUGCCGCAUGUGGAGCAGGAUCUGCUUACCCUUUCGGAGCACCUGAGAUGACCCUAGUUUUGGGUGGGGUUCGUGUUGUUUAUUCUUUAGUUUUCUAUGUUGUGUCAUGUGUACUAUUGUUUUUCUGUUUGUCUUUUUCAUUUUUAGCCAUGGCGUUGUCAGUUUGUUUUAGAUUUAUGAGUUUGACUGUCCCUUUGGUAUCUUUCGUCCCUCUUUUAGUAUUUAUAAGUACAGGGUAUUAUAUAGAUAAGUAUUAUUUUCUUACAUUUUAUAUUAGAAUAUUACAAUAUUACAAUUAAAUACAAUGUUCAAUAAUAAUAUAAUACAAUUGAAUACUCUGAUCUGAAAUUAAUGAUAUACUUUUCUUCAAUACAUGUAAUAAAAUUAAAUGACGUCCAUAUAAUACCCUUAUCCGAAAUUGAUUGUCCGGUGUCAAUUAUCUCGUUUAAAAAUUACAUGAUUUAAGAGUGUGUGAUAUCGAUUUUAUUGGUCGGAUAGUUUACACAUUUACUAUUCUAUUCAAAUAAAGGAACUAUUAUACCAAUGUUCUUGGACAUAUUUGUUUAAAUACUUCACCUACCUUGCUUGAUAAUUUGGAUGUGAAGACGCAUGUUUCGUUUAAACAAGACUCGUCCUUUUCAUUUAAAUCGAAGCAAUAUUAAAGCUAAAUCAAUAAGGAAGUUAUACAGUAUUGUCACGGUGAUAAAAACAAGUUAGAAAGAUGCCCUAUAAUUAUCCAGAUUAAGAUCCAGAGUACAGGCAAAUGAGACCAAUCGCUUCUCGAAAUAAAAAAAUAUGAUAAAUUUGUUUAGCAGUGGGUCUAAAACUUAAAUGCACGAAGCAAUAGACCACUUUCGAGUUUGUCUGUCACCGGAAAAUACUCAUCAAUUAUGUGCGCCUUUAUGACGUCAUUUACCAGGUAGAGUGGAUCGCCUGUAUCCCUGCACUAUUAUCCUCCAUCAAGCGUCUUAGAGAUCGUCAUUAUACAGGGUGAACUAGAAAUAAUGUUUGUUCUGUAGGUGCUUAAUCACAAUGACUGAUUGAAAAUUAUGAAAAUUCAAUGGCGAAUAAUUUUUGCAAUAUAUCAUCAUAGUUUCCCAACAACUCGCUCAACAUUCGAACGGAAGUGACGAUGCCCAUAAACACGAAUGAUGUUCAGUAAAUCCAACGUUUUUGACGGUAUUGCAUCGAACCUCAAAAGUUGUCUAUUUGUUAUCCUCAUUUUCCAUUAUUUAUUGGAUUAUUUAGCCAGAUAGUUGGAAAAAUACAGAAUUCAGCAAAUGUUUUCGUUUUCUAUAUUUUUCCACAUUCAGUUAACUUAUGACACAAAAACCAAUCACUUAUUCAAUCAGAUUUAUAUAUCCGAGUUUCCUCAAGUGUUUAGAUCUUCAAUUGAAUCAUAAAAAUGAUAAUGAUAAUAAUAAUAAUGAAUAACCUACAUCCUUUCGUUCCUAAAGAAAUAAAGAUAGACGUAUUAUCAUAUUUUUCCAAGUGUACAUCAUUUUAUAGACAUUUCUGUCUUAGAAUAUUUAGCCUUUAUCCAAUAUGUUAAAUGAAUUUUAUCUUAAGCUUAAAAGCUUGUGUGGGUUGAGAUAUUGACAUGUUGAGACACAUGCUGACACACUAUUUCAUUACUAAUGACAAACCUUUAUAUAAGAAUUGAUGGUUUCUGUAAAUGAAUUGUAUAAACAAGUUAAAGACUUAUCUCAAGAACAUAUAUAUACAGCAAACAGAUGACAUACCAGAAACAAGCAAAACAAGUCCGACAAACAGUAAACAUAGUUUGAAAAUAUUGAAGCUGUGAUUAAAAAAAAGAUGAACAACAGUAGUGUUCCUAUACUUUGAUACACGACGGCUUAUCUAUCAUGAUGUACGUUCAUUUGUCUAUUGCCCAGUUAAUUUACCAAUUAUAUCUACAGCUCUCUGGAACGACAAGGAAAUAUCUUUUGAAAAUUGAUAUAACAGACUUGAAUUGACACAAUUCGUGAACUAUUUUAUUGAAUUGUGAUUUGAAAGAGACAUCAGCAGAUAAACAAAAAUAUUAAAAGGCAUAUUCAGUUGCCUUGUACAAAUGCCAGAAUUCUUCGACGUUUUGUUUUGAACAAAAAAAGCAAUACAUGUAUGUAAAAAGCAAAGUCUGGAAUAAAAACAGAUUCUUUUUUUUCCUUGAAAGAAACAUUUUAAUAUAUAUGGAGAUCAUACAAAGAAUACACAGCAUGUACAUGUAUGUCAUUGACUGCAGUAAUCUUUAUGAAUAUACCUGUACGUGUACCCCACUAUAGUAACUUAAGAUUUCCAGGUCGAAAUUUAAAAUUUUGUUGAACUUCGUCCUUGUUUGUGCGUUUUCACAUUAUCUAAAUUAUUGCUUCCGGUUGCAGUCUUGUAAUUGACUGCUCCAUAGGCUUACAUGCUAUACAGCUGAUCUUUGAAAAUAAAAAAAUAAAAACUGCUACAUAGAAAAAAAAUUUCAUGUUCAUAUCAUGUAUGUACUAAUGUGAAAUGCCACGAAGAAUAAAAAGUUACGUAACCCUGAAGUCAAAACAUUUUUUUUCUACUUUCUGUUUGCUGUUUUCACUAGGCAGCACCACUUCCAGUAAACAUGAAAUCCUUCCACUUUCCUGGAUUGAUAUCCCCCAAAAAAUGCAAGAUUUUUUUUAAAUCUAUAUAUAUGAUUCAAUUCAGCAUAAAUCUAUAAUCAAACAGAAAAAAAUGAGUCCAGAAAAAAUUCAGAAAAAAGGGACUAUUUUGUUUCCCUCCAUGUUUUGACAUGCACCGGGAACUGGAGUUGUAAUACAAGACUGGUACCUUCCGAGUUCUUUUAAAGAAAUUAGUCACGAGAAUCUACACCCAGUAUACACGGGUGUCAUUCGAUUUAUUGAGAAAAAUGAUCGUGAAACAGUAACUAACGGUGGUCAAGUUUUGCAAGUCGACCGUGAAAGCUGGUACCGGAUCGUGAAAGAAAUCUAACCGAGAAUACAUAUAAUAGGUCAAUAAAUAAUCUAACUUAAUUUAUUACACGUACAAAUUUACAACACACAAAUAUUGAACUCAGAGAAAAAUCAAUUCGGAAAGUCCAUAAUCACAUGGCAAAAUCAAAUAACAAAACGCAUCAAAAACGAAUGGACUAGAACUGUGAUAUACCUGACUUGGAACAGGCAUUUUAAAAUGGUGGAUUGAACCUGGUUUUAUAGCUAGCUAAACCUCUCACUUGUAUGACAGUCGCAUCGAAUUCCAUUAUAUUGUCACCGAUGCGUGAACAAAACAAACAGACACAAUAGGUAAAAAUGUCAAAAAAAGGGUAUAACACAGUCACAUUUGUUUAUAUCUAAUCACUAUAAAAAACAAAAUGUAAAGAAGAAGCACAAACGCAUACAUCAAAUUUAGCAUCCUCAUUUUGCUUAUAUUAUACGAUUUAAUUUAUUUAUGUAAAAUGCACCCAUACAGGAUGAAAGGUUUUAAGUACUGGUGUAAAAUUGCGCGUGUGAAAUUUGCACAGGUAGACAUGAAAUAAUUUUGUCGUUCAAAGUAUGACGGAAUACAUAAAUACAGUCGCGUAAAAUAGAUAUAACAAAAACAGACUUAACAGUAAAAGUAAUAGUAAUAAGUAAAAUAAUAGUGUGGUUCAAAGUAUGACAAGAUACAUAAGUACAGAGUCACAUCAUAAAAUAAUUUUGUCGUUCAAAGUAUGAUGGGAUACAUAAGCACAGAGUUACGUCAAAAAGGAUAUCUCAAAACAGACUUAACAGUAAAAGUAAUAUUCAUAAAUAAAAUAAUUUUGUCAUUCAAAGUAUGAUAAGAUACAUAGGUACAGAGUCACAUGAUAAAAUAAUUUUGUCGUUCAAAGUAUGAUGGGAUACAUAAGCACAGAGUUACGUCAAAAGGAUAUAAAAAAACAACCAGACUAAACAGUAAAAGUAAUAUUAAUAAAGACAAAUAAAAGAAUAAUAUAACACGUUAUUAAGAUGAUAAACAACGUCAGUCAUAUACAAAACACACCACCAAAAAAUAAAAGACAAUACAAACACAUUGACGAGAUGUAUAAGUACCGAGCCACGUCAAACGGAUAUCACAUAAAACCAUUCAACAGUAAAAGUAAUAUUAAUAAUAGAACAAGGACAAAUGAAAGAACUAUAAAACACGUAGUUAAGAUGAUAAACAACAUCAGUACCAGAAUCUAUACAUCAAGACCAUCGUGUAUUAUUUGUGAAGUUGAUACAGAAUAUUUAUCAACAAGAUCUUGGUACCUUCCGAUGAACGUUUUUAGAAAAAGGACGAGACGCUCUUUGACAUACCCCUGGUUCAUCAACUUUCUACUCAGACACUGAUGACGUUUUACAAAGUCUGAGUAGGAGCUGCAAGCUCUUGAAUAUCGAAUAAGUUGGGAAAUAUAUAUCCCAUAUGCAGGUGAACUUGGUAUAUUGCUACUUAGGUGGGGGAAAUUUAUAAUUUCAAAAUUAAAAUCGUCUCAUUUGUCAUAGAUUCUGGUACUGAGAUGACUGUGUAAGUCAAAUUCGAGAUGUAAGUCUAAAAUGAGGCGGAGGAAGCCGUGUCUGUUGUUUCUUUAAUCUCUAGUUCUGGGGGAUAUAUUAAUGGAACCCAAUCAGAAAAGUUCGGAUUGUUUAUAGAAAGAACAUCAUCAAUAUAUCUGAAAGUGAAAUUAAAUAAUGUGGCUUCUUUGAUCCUCUUGUUUUUGACAAGUGCACGUGUCUGGAGGAACUCCGAUUAAAAUGAAAAUAAGAAGAGGUCGGCAAGAAGAGGCGCACAGUUUCUUCCCAUAGGAAACAGUCUGUCAAAAUUGUUCAACAUUAUGAGCAGUAUGUGAGAAAAUGAAGUUUUAAAAAUACAUAGUUUUUACAAAACAACAAAAGGCAGAUUGCUUCUCGACAUUUCAAUGACAUCAAAAAUGUAAAAAAACAUGAUUUUUCACAAAUUCGAAAAAUAGAAUAAACUAUUUUUUACCGAAAAAGGGCAUUCUAUUUGGAUAAAACGGUUCUCAUAGUUAUUUAAAUAAACAUAAUCUUAAACUUGGUGAAUUUUUUUUUUUUACACAAAACUGAUAUUACGUACCGCUUUAUUAAAAAACGUGAAAAGGAUCGUGAAAGAUGAGUCUUCAAUAAUAUGAUGAUUACUGACCGGGUCUCUUUUACUGGUAAAUAUAAUCGUACAAUGCCAUGGGAUCUUAUAAUCUUAUAAUACCAUACGGACUUGGUAAAUUAUAUCAAUAUCAGUAUAUUUGUUCAUCCGUUAUAAGUUUUGUUUUCUUUUACACGUUUAAGAUUGUUUUAUUUUGUAUUUAUAACUUUGAAUUUUCAUUUUUAUGCCCAUUUUAUUUAUAAAGCUUAUAUACCUGUAUGUUAUGGGGCCAUGAUAUGUGGUGUAUGGUGUACAUGUCUGUCUGCAUGCUACAUAUACGAUGUCAAUUGUAUUAGAUAAAUUGAAUGAUAGUAAGAUGUCUGUGUCUGACUGUCGGUCUGGGUUCAUAUCCUUUCGACUAUGUUCGGAAUUAAUUUGCAAAACAUAACUUUUACAUUUGUCAGUAUAACCGUUUCACAAAUGAUAUCGGAUAUGUUCCUUACGUCGUAACUACAAUCCCCUUCCCUUUCAUGAAUGUGACCUACCGAAUUAGACUAUUUACAGGAUUUGUUAUCACAUAAGCAACACGACGGGUGUCGCAUGUGGAGCAGGAUCUGCUUACCCUUCCGGAACACCUGAGAUCACCCCUAGUUUUUUGGUGGGGUUCGUGUUGUUUAUUCUUUAGUUUUCUAUGUUGUGUCGUGUGUGCUGUUGUUUGUUUGUCUUUUUCAUUUUUAGCCAUGGCGUUGUAAGUUUUGAGUUUGACUGUCCCUUUGGUAUCUUUCGUCCCUCUUUUAUAAGGUACUAUAAGCAUUGGAACACCUUUAUUUGGUGUUUGAAGAGAUCUGUUUGGUAUGGUUCAUCUGACCUUGACCUCUUUUUAUGAAUCAUUGACAAUUUUAAGCGUAUGUAACACUUCAAGUAAAACCCUUAAUAUAACAGACGUUCAACAAAUAUAUUAUCAUAAGGAAAUCAGACGAGACAUUUCAGCAUUUGCGCUCUGGUAUUCUUAAGCCUGUAAUAUAUAGUUAUCUCAUUGGAAAUCAAUCCACACCUGCUGCAUUGUAUAUACAGAUAUAUAGAACUUAACAAAGUACUGUUUCACAAAUUUUGGUUUUCGUUCAGUCUCAAAUUGUUCAUGAAAGAUGCUGUUUUUGCUAUAAGGUUUUAGUUGAUGGUCAAAUUUUUGGUUUAAACGUUGCAUAUCCAUAUUAUUGGCUAAAUAGUAGCAGUCUGCCUGAAUAGUACUAGACCGAUUCGCAGAGCUGAAUUUUUCACACUAAUUUAGAUACGAUUUUAGUUAUUUUUAACUUUUAGAGAUAAAGUUUUGAAUUAAAAAAAAUAAUAGCUUUAAUGUCCACUCUUAUAAAAAAAAGUUACCGCCUUCAAACAGUUGCAGGUAUAUCAAGUGGUAAAAGAAGUUUCUGAUUAUUAAGUCUGGUCAUGUAUUAUCUUUCACGAUCACAAUAAUGCAUUACCUGAUUUUUCCCGAUAAAGUUUUAUGAAAAAUCAACAAAAUUCAAGGUUUUCAUGAACAAAUCAACGGUUUUAAUUGAAGAACAUAUUUUUAUUUUUUACUGUACUAUAGGACCCACAAAGAUUAAAUUUCAAAUAUAUCAUGAUACAUUGAAAUAUGACCAUUAUAGGUACAAAAACCAAUUGUUUUAAAAUUAAUCCCAUAAAGUACUGCAUAUUUUCUUUAUUUCAUUACACAGACAUGUUGAGGAAGUGAAUCAUUUUGACAGACAUAUAUUUCUGUUCGGAUUUGUUCCGUGUUUUGUAAAUUCAGCUAUUUUCUCACAGAUUCUGAAGUAGAAUUUAUAUUUUAUUACAUUCACGUUCCGGUACCAGAGCUUUCACGAUCGUCUCGCAAUACUUGACCACCGUUAGAUAUUCUUUAACGAUCAAUUCUCUUGAUAAACCGAAUGACACCUGUGGUAUAGUAUCAAUCGAGAUGUAAAUGGAUCCUGCUCCACAUGUGUUACCCGUCGUGUUGCUCGUCUUAUUACAUCCCCGAUACAAAGUCUAUCUCGGUAGGUGAAAUUAGUGGUAAAUAGGGAAGAUGGUUGUUGUUGCAAAGUAAGAAACGUGUCCGAUAUCAUAUGUGAAACGGUUAUUCCAUAACCAUCAACCAACUCGUGAUGGCGUCCGUAAAAUUUACGAAGGGGUGAUUUCAACUUCACAAUUUUGUUUAAAAGCUUCCUUGUGAGCAGCAGCCCUCUAUCAAGGAAAUCAUAAUAGGAAAUACAAGGAGAUAUAUACUCCGUAUGCAGGCGCUGCUGGGAUGAUGCUACAUAGAAAUGGAAAGUUCACAAUUGGGAAGCUGAAAUCAUCUCUUCUGUCGUAAAGUUUUGUUUUCAACCGACCCUCAUUGUCAAUUUGUAGAUGUAAGUCAAGAUAUAAGGCAGACUUAACUGUAUCUGUUGUAUCCUUUAGUUUGAUUGGAUAGAUGCGUUCAACAUAGUCACCAAAUCUAUAAUAAUAUGCUUACCGCGCAACGGGAACACCCAUAAAUGACAAUUAUUCUAUAUCCCCAGACAAUUCAAAGGAUUUUUGAUACUGAUGGUAAAAUUAAGCUCAAUUUGUAUUACGAAUCAUAUGAAUUUAAUAUUAGUUUUCCUAUAGUCAACUUCUGGAAUUGAAGCAUUCCCUCUGGUGCAUCAUAUUGAUGACUUCUGACAUAGCUUAGUUUAAUUAUGAUUACCCUCUUGAUUAUAUCUAUAAAGACGAAAAGAAAAGGACGCAAACAUUUCAAUUUUAUUCACGAGCUAUUCGUUCAUUACCAUUAAUUGAUCAAUAAUUGCAAAGUCUAAAGUCUCAUUGUUCCCUAGUUAUGAUUUUGGGUCCUAAAUGCUCUUAAAUUUCUUACUUUAUGUGGUCUUUUUAACUUUAUGUUUCGAGCGUCAAUGGUGGGUCUUUUGUGGACGAAACGCGCCCCUGGUGUACAGAAUUACAAUCCCGGUAUAUUUGAAGAGUUUGUUUGAAAAUUCUAUUUUGUUCCCGUAUGUUCAUUAUUGUCAAUCAAAAAUUGAGAUUUUUAUGCUGCUUGCCUUGAUAUUUACCACUGUAUGUCAAGUCAGCCAUGGAAAUGUGUGAUGUAACGGUUGUUGCCUUCAUACAUAGCAUAGAUGGUUCCUCUUUCUUGGCCUCUUUUAUAUUUACCUAUGAUAAAGAAACUGAUGUUUUUGUAAAAUGAACUUUACUUUUAGCCCUAAAGAAAAAAAUUCUAAAUGACUGCUAUCUGAUUGUGACAUCUCAGGAGUAAUAGUUUAUCACACAGUGGUAGUAAUUUUGCCGUUGUCACUGUGAUAGUACACGAUUUUUUUUCUCUAGCAUCAAAGCCAUUGAAGGCAAAUAAGCAUUGGAGUUACACAGCAAGACAAACAAAGAAUAUGAAAAACAAUCAACCUGACGAUAAUUACAAAGUGCUUUACAUUUCUAGGACGUAUAUGAAGUUGAAAAUGAUAUUUUGAUUUAUACCAUCAUUCUAGAUUACAAAAUACUUUUGAAUGUUUAUUUUGAAAUAUAACUUGUCAUAAUUUUUAUAGUCUUUAAUAAAUAUUAUAAGUUUAUUGAGUGUAUUAGAAGGAGGUUGAGAUUGGACAGUUUCAACUACAACGGUAAUUGCUCUGUUAACUGUGCGUCUUUAUCUCAAAUUAUUAUCAUUAAUAUCAAAUGACUCAAUAUGUUGCUGCAAUUCCGUAUCUUAAAAUCUAUUGUAUUAACAAAUUCAUUAUGUUGUUAUGGUUUUUAUAUUCAUCGGAUGAAUAUGAUAGAAAAAAAAUGUAUGAACAAAGUUAUCAGAUUAUUUAGCUCUUCUUAGAAUGCUUAGAGAUUGCGAACCAAUAACGAGGUGCGCAAUUGAUCGCCAAAGAUUUAAGUAUUAUAGUUUUCUCAAAAUACACUAUAUCGAUGAAUAUCUAUUGAAGUAUUAUUAAAUCUUUUCCAUGAAACAAUUUCAGAUUUCCACUCCGGAGAUACAAAGUGUCUUGAAGAUUUAUAUUUUUCUUCUUUAGUUUUGGGUCGAUGAGUAUCAGCUAGACGGAAGAAAGUAUCGUUGUUCACACACGGGGCUGUAAUAAAUUUACGGAUUGGUGGAGUGGGUGGACGAAUCUUUACUGUAUAUGUUGGUCUGGGGGUUUUAUUUCUGAAAUAGAGAUGUACAGAAUAAAACGACCAUGUAUGAUAUGACUAAAUGUAAUUAAUGCAUGUAUUUGUGGAUAUCAAUUGGCCGCCGAUUAAAUACUGCAUUAGUUCCAGUAAUGACCAGACAGUAAAAUAGACAUGACGCACACGCAAGAACCUCCCCGUUCUCACAUACAACUAUUCAUUGCAGAGCAAACCUUUCUAAGUACCUGAGAUCACCACCGGUUCUUAGUUGGGCUCAUGUUGCUCAGUCUUAUGCUUUUUCUAUGCUGUGUUUUGUGUACCGUUGUUUGUUUUUUUCCUCAUACCGUUUAUCCUCUUUUAAAUCCUUCACAACUCUUUAAAAGUUACUGUACAAUGUGAUUCUAUGCUUAUUGUCAAACGCUGUUUACUGUCUUAUAGCAUUAGAUAUUCUCUACCUUUGGUAUCUGGUGAAUAUUUGUAUCAUUUGCCAGAUCAUACCACAUCUCAUCAUUUAUAUAGCUAUAUAUUCUACAUUAAAAAUAUAGUUUUUGUAGUAUGUCAAUCUAGUGAGUCGAUUUAUGACUUUUCUUAUCGGUUUUAUCAAUGGUUCAAUCACGAUCUUCGUUGACAAGUAGAUGUGGUACACUGCAUACGUUUUUCGAAUUUUCCUUUCAUAGAUUUAUAAGGUAUUGGAAAACAAGUACGAUUGCAGAUCUGGUAGAUAAAAUUGAGAAUGGAAAUGGAGUAUGUGACAUAGAGACAACAACCCUACCAAAGUGCAAAAAAGGCAGAACACCACCAAUUGGUCUUUAACAUUGCGAGAAAAUCCCGCACACGGAGGAGUGAUUCAGCUGGCCCCUAAACAAAAAUGCGUUCUAAGGUGACCUUCGGCUGUUUUUUUAAUCUUUGCACGGGUUGUUGUUUCUUUGACACAUUCCCCAUUUCCGUUCUCAAUUGUAUAGCAAAAAUACCGUACUCCGAUGUAAUUUAAAAACAGGAAAGUCCAUAAAGAUAACAAAAUCCAACAUUUUCAACAAACGGAACAAGUGGAAAACAACUUCAUAUUCCUGCAUUUUAAAAAGAAAAUGUGUGAACCUGGUUCUAAACCUCCCUAUGGUCACCGGUUUUCUACUGUUGCUUUAAUUUGACUAGUCCGUUUAAGUCCCAAACAUUUAUACAUCUUCGUCUUUUAAUGUUUAGAUAUUUGAGCGUUUCUGAAAAAUGUAAAUCCAGAUGAUCGCUUCAAACGCACUAAAUGUAUAAAGUACUUAUGCAUUUCCUUGUAAAUCGACUACCGUUAUAGAUGAUUUACGCAACGAAAUAGUAGUCUUAAGUUAUUAAUAUCGAAUCAGUACUUUAUAAACACAGAAUCGACAACUUUCUAAGUACAGAAUUUGACGCAAAAAUACAACAAACUGGCACAGCAGUAACAUUUCAAUCAAGGAAAAAAUGUUGAGAUGAGCUCUCUAGUAUGUACGAUUAGGAAGUUUUUUUCAUGAUACUUUUUUCGAUUAUCAGUUUAAGCAAAUUAACAGAAAUCGUAUUCUCCGUUUUAACAUUUUUCCAAACAUAAAUAAGAAGAUGUGGUAUGAGUCCCACUAGAAAAGAAAUCACCCACCAUGUUCUUGAAGGUGUGUCAGUUGGAUAGUAGUAUAGCCCAAGUUGACCAUUAUUUUAUUUUACCUCUUGACUUUAUUUUUCAAGCGUCACGAAGGAGCCUUUAGUGUAUAAAAAAAAAGUGCAUCAGUCGAGAUAUAUAUUAUUCUUUGAUAUUAAGUCUUGUUUACCUACUGAUCCUAUAUAUGAUUUUUUUAUCUUUGAUCUCGUAGAGACAUAACUUGAAAAUCUUACAAGUAUAAAUACACAUGGAUAUCGACUAAAAGACAACAUGUUAAUGGCAUGCCAAACAUCUCUCUUUAUGACAAUGUUUUAAAAAUAUCACUAAAACACUACAUGAAAAAAAUAUAAUAGCACCAACGCACCAAGAACAUUCAUAACAGAGAAACGCAUAAACUUACAAUAUAAUAGUCGACAACAUGCAAACCACAGAUCAACAACGAACAUAUUCCAACGACGACAAAUACAACAGGAUAUCAAAGACGGUGUCUUUUGGAAAAUGUUGUUUUAUAUAAAAAGUCUUUAUUGAAAAAAAACGUAUCCAACGCAAUCAUAGGUUUGAACGUUGUUAUCAAUUUAAACUUGUUUAUAUAUAUAUAUAUAUACCACAUGUCUAAAUUGAAAACAAUGUUCAUACCUAUGAUUGCGUUGGAUAAAACCGCAAUUUGUAUACGUGUGCAUGCAACCAUUUCGUCUACAGCACAAACAACAUUUUCCAAAAGACCAAAAGAGACAUGUCGAACACUGAUGUUCUUAAACCCUACUGACUGCCAUUUACGAUUGCCAAAAAAAAUUGGUCAGAAGGUGUAACAUAAUGGAUCUCUAUGUUAAUCUAAUACCAAGUAGAAGUAUAUAUGUAUAUACAUAGAGAGAGAUUGCCUAAUAAUGUGAUUUUAACACACUAUUUAGUAUGUAAACAUAAGAAUGUUUAAAAUAUUUACAAAAUAAUGAAAAUAAACGCAAUAUUUCGCGAGACCAACUAGCUUUAUCAAGCGUGCAUCUAUCCAGGUGAAAUCGGAUGUAGACGAUAAGAAACUUUUGCAGAUCAAUGUAUAUGUUGCACUUGAAUUUAGCUGCUUUGAAAAUAGUACAUAAUUUGAUCUAUUCAGGUGAAAUCGGAUGUAGAUGAUAAAAAAACUUUUGCAGCUCAAUGUAUAUGUUGCACUUGAAUUUAGCUGCCUUGAAAUAAUACAUAAUUUGGAUCUAAAAAUAAUACAUAAAUUUGGAUCCAAUAUGUAUUAUUUUUAGCAACGCAUCACUCUCUACUGUCCUCGUCUAUUAUUCUAUAUCUGCGUCUCCGUCUAGAUUUUCGUGUACCAUGAGGGUCCGGAUCGGGGGUGUUGUUUAUUUCUGUAUUCUUUUAAUUGUUAUGUCACUUUUCUCUAAAUUUUGUUUAUUUUACUCAUUAUUCUUUCUCUAUUCUUUAUAUUUUAGCAAUAUAUUUUACUUUUGAGGACUCCCGGCCGGAAAAUUAGUUUUAACUUACUGGAUCAUCCUCUUGAAAUAAAGAUUAUUUAUUUAUUUACUUACUGAUUUUUAUUUACAUUACGACUUUUAUCUCUGAUUUAUAUACUGGUUACCAAUGUAGAUGACAAAUUCGUGUCAUUCAUGACAAUCAAGCAGAAUUCAUUUCAUAUAUGCGACCAUUCUUGGAUGAAAUUAAGAUUACUUUAAUAUUACACUUUUUGAAACCAUUUUUAUCAAUUUUCAAUUUCCAUUGUCUAAAUUGUUCAUUGUUCAUGUGUUGUUUCCGUAUAUUUUAUAUUUCAUUGUUCAUGUUUUGUUUCCGAAUAUUUCAGCCACUAGUCUUGAGCCUACCCAUUUGUUCCGAUAGCACCCUAUAAAGCAAUCAUAUUAUACUUUUAUUGCCAUCCGGUUUAUUUGUCGGUUGAAAUUAUAGACCAUAGCGAUACCCCGAUACAAAUAAAUCAUCAGAAUUUUUAUGCAAUCUUUUGUCGUUCGCAAGGUUGCUUAUCAUGGUUGUUCAGGCCUUUAGAUGUUUUCAUAUCAGAUGUGGUGAGAAUGUGGUAUGAGUGACAAUUAGACAACUCUCCAUCCAAGUCACAAUAGUUAAAUCUAUAUAUAAAAAAGAGAAACGAGAACAACUUAGGAACCUUACUAAGAAACGAUAACAUCUGCAACUUCUAAAAAAUAAUUUAGUAUGUUUUAUGAUGUUUAAACAUAGAAUGCAUGUCAAAGUACGAGGCUAUCUGAUAAAGAUAGGUCUUUAUGUUGAUAAUAUCGGCGAUAGCACAGAUUUCCCUUGUGUGUCUAUAUAUAAUAUGAAGCAUAUACAUUAAAUGCAAUUUUGAAAUCUCAGAAAAACACUAAAUUUAACAGUAUAUAAAGAAAGAAUAAAUUGACAAACGGACAUGCUAGUUGCUAAAUCCACUACCCCAUCGUGUCAUGUGGCAUAGCGAUAAAAUGUUAGUAACAAUAAUUUGAUAAAACACCAAAACUUAAUUGGUAUACUUAAAUUUUGGACGUAACACGAAAACUUAAUUGAUAUACUUACAUUUUGAACGUAACACGAAAACUUAAUUGGUAUACUUACAUUCUGUACGUAACACUAAAACUUAAUUGAUAUACAUGUACUUACAUUUUGGACGUAACACGAAAUCUUAAUUGGUAUACUUACGUUUUAGACGUAACACGAAAACUCAAUUGAUAUACUUACAUUGUGUACGUCACAAAGUUAACAACGUGUUUACAACCUUUCAAAUAUCAACUUUAUUCCGAUUCUAUCGAGGGGUCGGGGUUCAUAGAAAGAAGGUAAAAUAAAAGAUAUGUAAUUUUGAGUAAUUUUUAUAUAAAAACAAAUGUUACAUAAAUAUGUUGAUGUUUAUAUUUAAUUAUCAUUUUAAUUUUCAGUUUCAUAGAAUGGAAUUCUGUAGGCCAAUAAUGUAGGUAUGUGUAUAAAUAUAUAUUUAUAUUUAUGUAAUAUUUGGAGAGAGAUUUAAAAAAAAUAUAUAUAUAUGAGUCUGAAAGAUUGUGUAACAAUACCGAUAAAUAGAUGGAAAACAAAACACUAAAAAGUGUUGAAUAUCAUUGCACAAAGAUGGAAAAAUAUAUAUAUAUGUUUUAAUCCUUGCUUUUCCUUACUCAUUGCAGUUGUUUAAGUUUCAUGGGUUACCUAUAAAUAAAUGAAUGAAAAGUUUGAACUAACUUCUUAUGGUUAUAACACUUCAAAAACUGCUAGAUUUUGUAAGUAAAACGAUCAGUUGUGGUUACAUUUUGUAUUGCAAUAGAUUGUUUUUAUUACAAAUAUUCAUUUCUUCCAAUUUUUUUUAUUUGAUGUAUGAUUGCCAACUGGACAACUAUCCAACAGAGUCCAAAUUAAACUGAUUAAAGCAAUUAUAUGGCCAGGGAACAGCCUUCAAAAAUAAACAGAAGUCGUCUUGUUUUUGUGGAACAUAUGGAAUGUGAACUAGUUAACUUGACAAAGGUUUUAUGGAUGAUUUGGAAUAAUAUCUUUUAAUUUGUUGAAUAUUGCAUUAUACACAUGUGUUGUACACACAUGUUAUACGCAUCAUUUAAAACGCAUAUCAUACACAUGUUUCUUACAACACAUAUUUAACGCAUGGUUUUGAAACAUGCGUUUAACAUUACACAUAUUUUUCAUGUGUAAAACGCAUGAAUAACGAAUGUUUUUAACAUGCGUUUUACAGUACAUGUAUUUUUCAUGCGUAAAACGCAUGAAUAACACAUGUUUAAAACAUGCGUUAUACAUGCGUGGUAGGAAAAAUAUGUUUCCCAUGCGUUUCCAAACGCAUGUUUUACGUACGUAAAACAUAUGUAAAACAUGUGUGGCACUUUUUCCUGUGUAGUUGAUAAAACUUUGUUCAAAGGAUCCAGUAUUGUUAGGUUAAAACGAUGUUGAGAAGGAUAAGAUUAAUCUACCAUAUUGAAGUGUAAGAGUUUCGUCGAUAACUGAAACAGAUGCAUCACCAUAAAGAGAUUUGUUAUAUUGUCCAAUAAAAUCUGUCAGUUUCGGAGAUGUUAAUUUGUGUCUUAAUUCUCGCUGUCGUGUUCUUCUCUGGAAUAUGAUUCCAUGGUGAUGGGUAGCUACAUGCUGUUGUUUCAUUUAACCAUGGUUCACGCUCCAGUAAUGUAUCGACGAUAUAAUAAUGGUUGGAAGCAUGGUAUUACGGAAACCUGAUUUUCCAAGACCAUUCGAGUUUAGAAACACACUAAUAUUUUUGCUUGGAAACAAUCGAAGAACUGAAGUACAUCCGUAUAAUCCUCCAGUGUGGAAAUACAUGUCUAAAUCUGUAAAAUACAUAAAUGUUUAUAUGAUAAAUACUACAUCUUUGAACUCCAUGGCUAGUUGCUAAGGAGUAAUUCAUGCGAACAACUGUUACAGUUCUUGCGAAUUUAUGAAGGACUGUGAAUGUGAUAUAAAGAAGAUUCAGAUUCAAUAUAUUUAUCUCUAUUCUACAGUAAAAUGAACAAAUCAGUCAAUUUUAAUUUAUUUUUCAUGAUAAAAUUUCAUAAAACGAAAAUUCUGCAAAAUGACGCUUUUGUCUUAGCAUGGCAAUGAAACAAGGUGACGUCACAGGUAUAUUUCCGUAUACAAAAAAUCAAACGUAAAUACCGGACGUUUUAAAGCUUCUUGUACGCCUUAGAACGAAAAAAAAUGCAUUUGAAGAAAAUAUAUAAGUGAAAAAUGCGAUUAAAAUGUUAUCAUGAAUUAUAUAAUAUUACAUAUAUUAUCAAAAUUGGGUGAAACGGAACAGCCAAAACAGUAUCGGAUGUAUAGGGCUUUCACGGUUAACAAAAUUGCCGAAUCUGUCCUAUUAGAAUCGAAAUAAUUUAUGGCAGCUAACGCUCAGGGUAAAAUAAUCGAAUAUAAAUGCCAAACCCAUGGUUGAGUGAAAACAAAUCUACGGCUGCCAUGAAUUAUUUCUUAAAUAUUUGCAUUUAUUUAAAUGUUUAUAUGUGUUCUACUCGGACAUAUAAGACUGACUAUGGAUGAACCAGUAUGUUAACUGCAAAGUACCGAGUAAUGAGGUAAGAAGCAGCAAAUAUCCCUUUUCAACCCUUGGUUUGACCAGGGGUCGAAACCUAGACCUGCAUCUAUCAUGAAAACCUUUAGUAGACUCUAAUUUCUUGUUUCAUGCCGUUUUUUAGGCAUAUAAGCUGCCUUAUGCGAGCACCCUGGAUUUGUAUUCUACCCAAUAAAUGCUGAAAUACGUGCCAUUGUUAUCAUCUAGCUGGCUAAUAUAAUAUUUAUAACUUAUUGGACAGUUUUUUCAUACUUUUUAUUCUGGAUUACAAAAAAUAUGACCAGAAAAACCUUAAAUGAUCGUCGAUUUUCCCAAAAGUUUUGAAGUUGCACAUUAGGAAUCCUUAUGUAGUUUAUUCUCCCCUGAGCUUUUGUCUAAGAUGUCAAAGAACAAAUGUAUGAAAUAUUUAAUCGCCGAAAAUCUCUAAAGACAAGUAGUUAGCAAAAGUCGUAGGAAUAUUGUUUGUCGUCAAUACGUAGUCAACUACGUCAGUAGUCUAUUAAUCAAUAAAAGUUCAACUGAUCACGCUGUUGGCGGCAAUUUUGAAUUAGAAGACGAAAUUUUCGUAUCUUUUCAAUUUGGACGCAGGGGUUCAAAUUAGCGGUGGUCUGAGGUCUGAAACCUUCCACUAUUGAUGUCGGACUUACUACUUGGUUACUAGCUAUGCCCGACAUGCACGACGGACCUUGAAAGAAAAUUUAAAAAAAACUUUGCAAACAUUUUUACCAAAGUUUCUUAUAAACGAUCUCAAACUUAUUUUCAUCAUUACUAUUCAUGGCAGCGAUGUUCAAUUUGUUCAACCGCUAGCUUUAUACAGAAAAUCGCUGACAAAUAAUGUGUAAAUCGGACUAAAAUCGUAUCUCACUAUCUGACAAAAACAACAUUAAAAACAAAAUGGCUGCCGCGAGAAGACAAUUACAAUAUCGGAUCCAAUUCCGGAAGCGGAUAAGGAUAAUUCCGGGUUUCGGAUAUCAACUAAAAAAAUCCCGACAUGUGACAAAAUACAUCUAUGCAUGGUAAAUAAAUAUAAACACUAGAAUUGAAAACCAAAAAAAAAUAUGUAAAAGAAAGAAAAAGCAGAACAUAUUUUGUACACCAAUUUUAAUGUCAAAAUCUAUUACAACGUGACAGCUGGGAACAGUUUAUCUAACAAUAUAUAUGUUCCUGGUAACAGUAUUAAUUUUCUUUAUCAGUGAUAAAUGUUGGUAAUGCAUGUUAGAUGCUUUUCAAGUUAAACAUAUUACUGCAAUUUCAAGGGGUAUUUUUUUCUUCUCAAUUUUGAUAGGUCAGUUAAAAUAUAAGUUUUUUAUAUAUAAAAAAAGAUGUGGUAUGAUUGCCAAUGAGACAACUAUCCACAAGAGACCAAAAUGACACAAACAUUAACAACAAUAGGUCAUCGUACACCCUUCAACAAUGAGCAAAGCCCAUACCGCAUAGUCAGCUAUAAAAGGCCCCAAUAAGACAAUGUAAAACAAUUCAAACGAGAAAACUAACGGCCCUAUUUAUAUAAAAAAUUAACAAAAAACAAAUAUGUAACACAAAAACAAACGACAACCACUAAAUUACAGGCUCCUGACUUGGGACAGGCACAAAUAGUGCAACUAUAUUAUAUGAUACCUGAAUUUAAGCAAAUCAUUUGAUAUAUAGGUGGAGUCCAUUGGGCCACUCUACCUCCUCCUGUUUGAUAACUUUGAAACGGAUGAGAUCCCCACCCCUCAACCAUAUACAUUCAUGUAUGAGACUAAAUAACUAAUCAAAUGAAAUAUAUGGGAAGUCCCUAGGGUCACCCCACCCCCUCCUGUUUGAGAACUUGGUAACGGUCGAGAUCCCUACACCUAAACCAUAUAUCUUCAUGUAGGGUACAAUAUAACAAAUCAAAUGAAAUAUGUAGGGGAGUCCCUGGGUAUCACCCCACCCCUCAUAUUUGAGAACUUGGAAACGGUCGAGAUCCCCACCCCUAAACCCUAUAUAUUCAUGUAUGGGACAAUAUAACAAAUCAUAUGAAAUAUAGGUGGAGUUCGUGGGGCCACUCUCCCCGUUCCGGUUUGAGAAUUUGAAAACGGUUGGGAUACCCAAUCUUAAACCAUAUAUAUUCAUGUAUGGGACAAUAUUACAAAUCAAAGGAAUAAUAAGGGGGUCCCUAGGGUCACUAUAAACCCUCCUGUUUGAGAACUUGGAAACAUUCGAGAUCCCCAACCCUAAACCAUAUUUAUUCAUGUAUGGGACAAUAUCACAAAUCAUAUGAAAUAUAGGUGGAGUUCGUGGGGCCACUCUACCCCUUUCUGUUUGAGAAUUUAUAACGGUCGAGAUCCACAAUCUUAAACAAUAUAUAUUUAUGUAUGGAACAAUAUUACAAAUCAAAUGAAUUAUGAGGGGGUCCCAAUGGUCACUGUACACCCUCCUGUUUAAGAACUUGGAACAAUUCGAGAUCAUCACCCCUUAACUAUAUAUUAUACUCAUGUAUAAGACUAUAUAACAAAUCAGAUGAAAUAUAGGGGAAGUCCCUGUGGUCACCCUACCCCUCAUGUUUAAGAACUUAGAAACAGUUGGGAUCCCCAACUCUAAAUUAAAUGAAAUAUAGGGGGAGUCCCUGCAGUCUCCCCACCCCUCCUGAUAGAGAAAUUGGAAAUAGUCGAGAUCCCCACCUUUAAAUUAAACCAUAUAUAUUCAUGUAUGAGAACUAAUCAAAUGAAAUAUAGGGAGAGUCCUUAGGGUCACCAUACCCACUCCUGUUUGAUGAAUUAGAAAUAGAUGAGAUCCCCACCACUCAACCAUAUAUAUUCAUGUAUUGGACAAUAUAACAUAUCAAAUGAAAUAUAGCGGAAGUCACUGGGGUCCCCCAACUCCUCCUGUUUGAAAACUUGAUAACGGUCGAGAUCCCCACUCAUAAACCAUAUAUAUCCAUGUAUGGGACAAUAUAAAAAAUCAACUGAAAAAUAUGGGUAGUCCCUAGGGUCAACCACACCCUCUUGUGUGUGUUUUGAGAACCUGUAAGAGAUUGAGAUACCAACGCCUAAACCAUAUUCAUUCCUGUUUGUCAUUUCAAAAAAGAUUGAAUGACAUACAAGGUUAAUCUCAUAGGCAACACAUAUACAUAUCACUUUGCUAGACCCUAACACCUGUCAUUUUAUUCCAAACUUAGACAUCAUGGCAUGGACUUGGGGUGAAGGUGGGAGUCAUUUACAUUUACUAUGUACAGGUUAGUCAGACCUCACCAUUGAUCACUAUAGUAGAAAACAUUUGUCUGAUUUGUGUCUCAUAACUUUUGUACUGUACAACACAAUCUCAGUUUUCUUUCCAGGGAAGCAAGUCCAUUCAUACUUUUACAAGCUCGUACUAAAGUCAACUUGAACUACUAACAGUCAACUAAUACGAACAAUUACGAUCAACUAGAAGAAUCAUUGCAAAUUUGUACCACUGCUGACUCAUUAAAGACUCAUGACCAUUCAUGGUCAUGUGUGUUGCUAUUGAAAACCUUGAUAAAAUAUGAACUAUUUGCCUUAAAGAUUAAUUCAUUAAAUGAACAUAAAUGUACAAUUAUAUAUGAAUGUUUAAUGUUUGUUCUUUUAAAUCUUUAAAAAAAAGUUGAAACAACAUUGCCACAGUUUUCAUAAUUAUGUUUGCCUUGGUUUUUGGUUAACUGCCUACAGUGCUUACAGCGCUUUGAUUUAAACUUCUUUUCUUAUUAUUUAAAGAAUGCAAUUGUACCUCCUCACCUCUAUAUUUUGUUAAAAACCAGGCCAUCCCAUGGUGUUGUCAGUUUAUUUUAUCUAUGAGUUUAAACGUCCUUCUGGUAUAUUUUGCUGCUCUUUUAACUCAGGUGUAUAUGUAGUUUAGUUUAUGAGACUAACUAAAUAUAUACAUGUAGAUAAACCUUUAAAAAAUUGUAUGAUACAUAUUUCCCCGAAAGUAAAGUAUUGCCAUAAUGAAUUAUGCUUGCUUUUGGGAUCCCAAACGCAAAUUAAAACUAUAAUUCAUUAUUUUACUUAAGGGAACCAUCAACCUUCAUUGAGCAAUAUAAUACCAAACUAUUUGAUAUAUGUGUUUAUGUCCCCGACAAUAAUUGUGCAAAAAUUGUUUCUUUUACCUGAGGAGACUCGUUACUUUUCAGGAAAGCUAAAGUUUUAAAAUUUAUAUCAUAAUCUCGUCUAUUUUCUUAAAAGGUUCAUCGAAAAGUACCAAGACCUUGAUGAUAAACAUUCCGUAUCAACUUCAUCAAUUACACACGUUCUUGAUACCUACAUUGUUUAUUAUCUUAAUAACAUGUUUUUGUUUCUUUUAUUUGUCUUCAAGAAUUAUAGUUUCACUGUUUAUUCUGUUUUUAGUGCUAUCUAUUUGCUCUCUGAUCUCUAUGACUGUGUUCUUAUACAUCCCGUCAUUGUGUUAUUGUUCUAUGAUCAUUUUUGUAUUCUUGACCUUCAUUUUUGCUAAUGUGCUUUGUUUAUAUACCUUUUUGUGUUUCUUCUAUACAUUUGACGUGACUUUGUAUAUAUACAUCCCGUCAUAUUGGUAUUGUGCUAUUGUACAAAGUUUAAAGUGUGUUAUUGUGUUGUGGUACAAUUUUGUAUUCUUGUCUUUUAAAAAUUUGCAAUUGUGAUUUGUCUGUUGGUCUGUGUGUACUUCUUUGAUAUUUAUUUGUUUGUUUUCAUAGUUUUUAACAUUAUAACAUAAUGUUGUCUGUUGUACCCCUAAUUAUGUUUGUUUGUUUUGUUCACACAACGUUGUCAAUAUAAUGGAAUUUGAUGCAAUGGCAUACAAGUGAGAGCUAUAGUAAGCUAUAAAACCAGGUUUAAUCUACCAUUUUCUACAUAUGAAAAUGUCUGUAUCAUGUCAGGAAUAUGACAGUUGCCAUCCAUUUGUUUGAUGAGUUUGAGCUUUAGAUUUUGACAUUUGAUAAGGGAUUUUACGCUUAGAAUUUUUCUCGGAGUUCAGAGUUUUUGUAAUUCUACUUUUAAAUAAGUUGCAUAAGGCCAAUUAAAAUUAAUUGAUAGAUUUUCAUCCCCGCCUGCCCCUCUGAAAUCGUCCCGCCCAGAUUUUUUUUAUUUUGAAAAAUUUACGAUUUCCGGAUUUUGUUAAUUUCCGUUACCGGUAAACGUCAAUGAUUUCGUUUCUUUCAAAACUUCCUGUUUCAAUUUUCGUUUUUCGUAUUUCUUCACAGGAGUUUGAAAUCCUAUCAAUAAGGGGGUAAACAUAUACCAAAGUCGACUAUCACAGUAGAGCUUCUCUCGAAGAGAGAAUCGAUUUCAAACUCCUGUGAUUUCUUCGAGUAAUUUAGAAUAACUCUACAGAUCUAUGAUGACAACAUCAUCUACCGAGAAUAGAGAUUGAUUACGGGAAGGGCAUAAAAUUUUCGGGUUACGAUUAAUAUGCUGUUCCAAGAGUGCAAAUCGCUGCAGCAUGACACAAAUUUCUAUGAUUAGAAAACCGUGGAAAUUAUUAUUGAUACUGUAAAAUGUCAAUGACUUUGUGUCGGGAAUUUUGGACUGUGAAUGAUAUCCCAAGCUCAAGAAUUGUGGAACACGUUGGUACAAAAAUGACCGGAUUAAAACAAUUGACACAAGCUCGAACUUGUUAGAUUUUUGAGAUAUAUUGAGUUCAAAAAGUCGGCAAACAUACAUUUUGUAGAUUUAUCCAUGGCUAUUCUUUUUUUGUUGAGAAACAGCAAACAACCUCUGCCCCAAUACAUGUAGAACAGUGUUUGCCAAUCAGAGAUAUUAAUUUUAAGAAUUUGAAAAAUUAUGUACGAUUCCUUGUACAUGUAUAUACAUGCUAGAAGCUUAUUAUUGCUCUUGCAUAUAUGAAGGAAACGUCACAAGAUGGUUUGAUAUGAAAUAAAAAAUAAAAAGUAAAAUCCUCCCACCCGCCCCAUUUGUUUCAAAAAUUUGGAUGAAAAUCUACUAAUUAAAUUUAGUUGGCCUAAUUCCAGUUCAUGUAUAGUUUUUUGACGAGGAUUUUAGUUUUUUUUUUUUUUUUUUUUAAUAUUAAACAUAUUUUAUUAACAAUCACCUGUUACAUCAACGCUCAGUUGCUCAGGGAAGCAACUAAGGGGGCCCUAUUUUUACAGUCUCAUUUGUCGGGGAAAAAGCAAAUGAGAAAAAAACUCCCACUAUAAAUUAUUAACAUCAACGUUUAUAAAUAUUAUCUAUCCUUGUACAACAUGUACCUGCAAUCAUUAUCGAUCUAUAUAUCUAUACCUCUCACCAUAUAUAAUUAUUUGAAUAAAGUAUGUUUUUUUAUCUUUAUUUAUUUCUCACAAAGGCUACCUGUAUUUAUUAAGCAGUUUCAAUUUUAUCGUACAUCAAGUCUUUUGUUAUGUUAAUUUCAAGUACAUUAAAUUUCUGGUCGAGUGAUCAUUUACCACGUGAGAUUUGUUAAAGGGAUGUGUAGUUCAUUCAUUUAAAAAAAAUGGAUUAAUAAUUUUGAUUCCAAAUAAGGAUUAAUUUCAAAGAUAUGGUGAGUAAAUAUUUGUUUAUAAUAUGAACCUGUUGAUACAACAUGUCUUGUUACAAUUAGAUGAUAUACAUGAAUACAUACACAACAGAAAUUACAUGUAGGGAGUUGAGAGCAGUGUACAUAUUAUUAUUCAAUCAGUAUCAAAGAGGUCAUUGCACUGACCUGACCACGCAAAAUAUAUAUUUAUAUACAAAAAAUGUAACACAUAGUAGAAAAAGCUUCGAUUUUCGUAUUCGGUUUAAGAUAUUUGAGCAAAAAUUGCAUUUCAUGUUUUAUCAUAUUUAAAAUCACCGAUUUACUUAUCCCUAUCUUUUGAUAUUUUGCGAUAUUUCUAGUUUUCCAGAUAACCCAUUUCGUGAUUAAAAGCACCGUAUCUAAAAUUUGGGUAUAAGAUGCAUCUGCAUUAAUGACCCCAAAUAUUAUACUUGUUUCUGAUUUUUGUAAUUUUUGGAUAUUUAAUUUUGAACAAAUAUUCCCUUAUUUUCUCAAAUAUUUCCCGCCAAACGUCUUCCACCAGUUUACAAUAAAUAAAAAGAUGAAAUAGUGAUUCUUUUUCAUUGCAAAAGUGACACUUCCCGUUUGAGCGAUUCAUUUUUUGUAAUUUUUCUUCAGUGUAAAUUAUAUUAUGUAGUAACUUCCAUUGAAAUUGUUUAAUUUUCCUGUUAGCUAAAUUCUUAUUCAAAGUUUCCCAAAUGUAAUCCCAUGGUAGUUCAUUCCCAAAAUGUAAGUUCCACUUCAACUGAUUAUUUAGAGCUGUUUUAUUCUGAUAAAAGUAUCUAAUAUCUUUAAGGCAUAAUUUUUUGGCAUCAACGACAACUCCAUUUUUAUAUAAAUUGACAAGAAUUUAUUAUUUUUAUAGGUCCAUCAGAAUGACUAUGGAUGCUAGAGUCUGUUUUUAAAACGUCAAUUUGUUGAGGUGUUAACGAAGAUUUAAUGCAGCUAUAUUGUGCAAUCCAAUUCCUUUUAUCUUUAAGACUGUUAAAAAUAUCAAAAGAAGUUUUAAAGGAUUUAUUGUUUAAGUCCCAUAUAUCUUUUAAUUUUUUUUAUUCCACUGGAGGCAAAAUUUGCAUAAUAUAAUGCAUGUCCCUUGAACUUAAAUUUACAAUUGCCGAAAAUAUUUUCUUCUAAAAGGUCCUCUUUCGUGACCGAUUUUUGGAUUUUCUGUAAGUCAGUCCAGGAAAUUAAAAGUUCUUUAUAAUAUUUGGACAUUUGUAUUUGCCUAUGUAGUGUCCGAACAAGAACAUAUAAAAAAGUCUGUAUCAUAUUUUUCGUCUAGUGACGUUAACCAGUAUUUUCCUAUUGCAUUUCAUUUUUGUGUUUUUUAGUUGACAAUACUGUACACACUUUUCUCUUGUUUUGAUUUAAUAAAGUCCCUUAAGUUUAUCAUUCCUAUCCCCCCUUUUUUCUUUCGGUAAACAGCACACUGUUCUAGCGAUUUGGUUUGUUUUCCCAUCCCAUAUAAAGGACCAUAUAAUAUUAUUUAUUUGUUUUUCGUAUAUAUCCGGGAUACCUCUCAUUUCAAUUUCGUAUCCAAUGACGGACAGUACAAAGGAUUUAAUAAUUAAAAUUUUUCCCGUAAAUGUGAGAUCUCUUGAUUUCAAAACUUCCAUACAGCUUUUUAUUUUAUUUAUUUUUUCUAACCAAAUUUGAUCUAAGUCCAGCCCAUAUCCAUGUAGUACCCCUAAUGCUUUCACAGGACGCUUAGACCAUUUAAUUUUGUUAAAUUCUGGUUUUUUAUUUCGCCACUUGCCUAAAUACAUGCCAACAGUCUUAUCCAUAUUCAUUUUAGCCCCCGAAGCAUUUUUGUACAGUUUUAAAGUUUUAAAUGUUUCUUCGAUAGACUCCUCGCUUUUAUUAAAGAGUUGAGUAUCGUCAGCAAACAUAUUUAGCUUUAUUUCAAUAAUAGAGUAUUUUAGUUUUAAACAUUAAUUUCUCAUUGAUACCAGGAUUAAAUUCCUGAGCGUUACUUCAUAACUCAUCAGUGAUGCUCAAAUCCAAACAAGUAAAAAAAAGCCCAAAUAAAUUAUAUACGCAAUUUGAGAGCAUUGAGGUCCAAUGGGCCAGCAGUUGUUAUAAAAUAUUUAGAAUUACUAAUGUUUUAUCUUUUGUAUUUGUCUUCUUUUUGCACUUACACAUUACUAGGCAUGCUCUUCCUUUUAGUACAAAUGAUAUAUUCUUUACGUCGUAACUACAAUCCUCUUCCCGUUUCAUGAAUGUGACUUAUCAAAUUAGACUAUUCACCGGGUUUGUAACAAUAUGAGCAACACGACUGGUGCCACAUGUGGAGCAGGAUAUGUAUGUUUACCCUUCCGGAGCACAUGAGAUCACUCCUAGUUUUUUGUUGGGGUUUGCGUUGCUUAGUCUUUAGUGUUUUAUGUUGUUUCUUGUGUACUAUUAUUUGUCUGUUUCUUUUUCAUUUUAAGCCAUUGCGUUGUCAGUUUAUUUUUUAUCUAUGAGUUUAACUGUCCCUCUUUUGAAGUACCUCUUAAUCAAUUACAUUCCACAUAAUCUUAUUCUUGUGGGUUUUUUUAUGUGUUACUAAUUCGAAAUUUAUAUGAUGUAAAAGGAUUGUACAGUAGAAGACUGAAGAAGUAACAAUUAUCUGUUUUACACUUUUAUUCAUCAUUUGGACAUUCCACGAUUUCGACACUUAUCUAAAAAAAAAUUACAGAUAAAUGGCAUUGUAUUUAUAUGAUAACAAUAGAUAUUUCAUUAUCUAAAUGAUAUACUUCGUACUUUAACUCAUCAUUUAUCAGAACCUAAAAAAAGUAAACAGAUGCUAGUGGAAAGGCGUGUCAUAGACAUAGAUUUCGUUAGUGUCGCUUUAAGCUUGAAUUUGAUAUAUAUCUAAAAUAUAAUUCUUUAUACGCUUCAAAACCUCGCUCAUCUAUCAUUGAAUUGAACAGUGAAUUUAGAUAAAAGAAUCGAGUAAUUUUUACAUCAAAAUUGCAUGAAAACCAAUUUUAUGUUCCAUUUAUAUGAAUCCAGUUGUUCAAUCGUCAAGAUGUGUCCAUUAGUGUCUUGAUGAUUUACCGUAUUAAGAUCCAUGGGUAUUAAGUUUUAUUUUGUUAUAAUUAAAAUAAGAAAUAACUACAUAUAGUUUAAAAUACAGUUAUGAACCCUUAUUGUCCUAAAUAUUGUUGAUUAUCUAUACAUUUGCAAACGCAGGUAUGGAUCACAUAUUUUGAAAAACAGGGUGCCAAUUUACCAGGAAAUAUUAGGAAAGGAACUUGUAAGUGAAUCAAUGCUAUAACAAUAUAUAUACAAUAUCCUGCCCUAUUAAAUUACUCUGUAAGAAAUAGUUACUAAAAAUAUUCAAUAAAUAACAAAAAAACAAAAAGAUUACGCAAAUAUUACUAAAGUAAAUCUGUAAAAUGAUUAAAGGACUAUACACUCACCUUGUUAAUGGCGACAAUGACACACAUUGUGGCUAUCACAGUAUGCACCUAAAUGUCCAAGAAACAGACAAUGAGUCAGACAGGCAGUCGUUCCAAGUUGUACACCAAAGAUAUUUGCACUGCCGGCCUCACAUGUCAACCUCCUCUGUGGUGCUACAAAUUGAAAGAUUCACAAGUUUAAUAGACACGUGUUUUCGAAGUCGCAAAAUAUGUUGAAGCUUAAUACAUUCAGUAUGUGCCCGUGCUAAAUCAGUAUUCUAUAAUUUGGUAGUUGUCGUUUGUUAAUGCCUGUAGUAUUUUGGGUGAGGUGAGAAAGGGUAUAAAUAAACUCGUUGUUUUUGUUGGAUAGUUGUCUCAUUGGUAAUCUAACCAUAUCUCCUUAUUUUUAUAUAAACUGUACAUAGAUAACUAUAAGAAGUCAGGUGAUCCUUAGAAGUUGAAGUACAAUUCCGGUCGUGAAUAUAUAAAUGAAAGACAAUAUCCAAUAAAAAUAUUUCGAGGGACUGCUACAUAUGAACAAAUACUUCUCAUAUAUACAAAGCAUAUUAACCAAUAAAACGAAGGCCAAAAACAGUUAAAAAGCCGCCUCUCUAAAUUAAACAUAAGAUAGGUUUAUCUGUAUGACCGUAGAGCUAUACGGCUUUAAUACAUAAGUGCCUAUCUUACAAUGAGUGUUGCGUAUUUGUGAAAUAGUUACGAAAAAAGAUAAUUCCUAUUUUGGUUUAUGCUAAUACUUUUGUUUCUCUUAUAAGAGCAUGGCCAGUAAAAUUAUGAAUAAACCAAUGAUAUAAACGAAAUAGCUACAAAAGGUUAUACAAAGAUGAAUUUGCCUCUCCGAAAAACAAAUGUCAUGACAAUCAGAAUAAAGCAGCUGAUCUGAUUCAAAUUUUUGAAAUUUCUCAGUAUUAGUUAGUAGCUAAAAAUGCUAUUGUUUUUGUCAAACGAGAUAAAAGAAUGAAGCGUUUCUGCGGGUGUUUGUUAUUUAACACAGUUGAGGCAAACAAAUAUUGAAUGACGUAAAUAAUGAUUAUGGAUAACAUACCUCCUUCUGUUCCUAAAUAGGAAAAGAUAGCAAAAUAUUAUAUUUCAUUUUAUUUAAUAUUUUUAUAAGUCCAUAUAUGAAAUUUUAAAUAAAAUAUAAGGCAAACGAAUAAACAAAUGACGAGAAAAUAUUGCAGUAUUACUGAGAAACUUUUACAAUAAACGAAUAGCGUAGUAACCAUGAUUUAACCUUUGGUUUUCUUUCUGUCAAUGUCUGUUUUACACAAAUUACAAAGACAUGGUUUAACGAACAAAACUUUAUAUAAAAAAGUCACGCAAUAAGAACAUUUUGUUAGCUUUUUUUUAAUACAAUUGAUAAAGUACAAACACUUACGUUUUUUUAUAUCGUUUAUGUAUAUGAAUGCUUUAAACUUUUUAAAGAGUGUUAACCUGUCACUAAGAAUCUUUGGAGAAAGUACAUGAACAGACUACCUACCAGAAAUAAGGAAAACAAGCCCGACAAUCAAAAACCCUAGUUUGAACAUAUUGAAGCGUUGAUAAGAAGAUGAUGUACACCAAUUGUUCUUCUCGCUUUUUAUACAUGAUGUGUUAUCUAUCGUGAUGUAAUCGCAUUUGUUCAUUGGUCAGUUAACUUACCAUUCAUAUUUAAAGAUAACUGGAACAACAAGGAAACCUCUUUGAAAUUGAUAUAGCAAACCAGACCAGACCAGACAAGACCCGAGUCGAUUUAAUUUGCAAAACAUUUGGUUGCACUGAGAAGUAAAAAUAGUAACAACGCUUUCUUUGUUAUAUGGGGACGAAGUUCCCAAUAACAGUAGAAAAAUCAAUAAAAUAUUUAAAAAAAAAAUCGAGAAAAUUUUCCCGAAAUUUUCAUUGUACUAAAGAACUCAAAAUCGUUCAAUUUUUUUUUAUGUCAUUUUUUGAAUUCCCGCAUCUCCUCAGAAAUCUACAAUGUACUUCCUUUUUCCGGUCUCGUUGAUAUGAAACUUUCAGUAAUUAUGUAUUUAUCAGUCUAGUAUAAAAUACGAAGGAACACAAUACCAAUUAUUUUUAAUAAUUCAUUGAUAUGAAAAAACGUUACCUGAUGAUAAUGUUUCUUUGUUUACAUUGCAUACGACGUCAUAACUUAAAUAACGUCACAACUAAAAUCCCUAACAACAGAACCAAAAUCGGAAACGUUACGGUAUUUCCGUUUCUUUUUUUUUUUUUUAACAAAUAUUUAAGUUACAAAAUAAAUAAUUUAUACACACUUCGUCCCCAUUUACAGGUAAUGCCUGCCUCAUAUUAAACUAGAAAGCCGAUCGGAUAUUCAUAGUUUAAAGCUUGGUAAAAAAUCAUGUUAUUCAAGUUCUGUAUUUCCAUUGAAUCCACUCCAUUUCUCGUUGUUAAAAUUUCUGAAACAUAUUUACUUUGUUGUGUCAAUGAAAGAUUAAGGCUAUGUUAUGUAAGAACCUUAUAAACCAAGAGCUUUAUCAUGCCGGAUUUAUUUUCAGAAUCAUGAAUAGAGACAACAUUAGUAUACCGCUGUACGAAAAUCAUAAAUGGAUUGAGAGAAAACAAAUCCAGGUUGUAAACUAAAACUGAGGUAAACACAUCAACUUUAAAAGGAAAUCAACGACACAACAGGAACACUGCAGUCAACUAAAAAAAACGACACUGCAACACACACAGAAACGAACUAUAAGAUAACAAAACCUAAUAAAUAUGCCAUAUCAAAAAUAUCGUCAACUCUCGCAUUUCAAUUUCAGAGACCGUUUUGUAUAACAAGUUUACAAUUUUAAAAAACAUGUUUUGCUCUUUAAAUGGAUUUAGCUAUUUUAAGUAAUUUUUGUCAUCAAGCUCUUCUUUUGAUAUUUUUCUUAUACAUCCUCAGCUUUCAAAUAUUCUGUUUUGAGCUUUCCUGGUGAAGAUAAAUCCUGAAAAGCAUUUCUGACGCGUGUAAUUAUUCAACGUGUUGUUUUCGUUUUUAAUGUCGUCUAUUACAUAAUUGUUUUUUUUUAUUAUUUAUUUUAUUGACAUACUGUUAUUCCCCUUAAAUCCAUAUUAAAAGCCAUAUAUUGUGGCGCUUAAAAUCAAACACAAAUCCUAACACAUGUUUAUAAUAACAUGAUGAAUAGAUAUUCAGAACAGUGUUUGUGUUCAGUUUGUUUAUUGUUUGUUUAUCUUGAGAUUUUCUGAAUUUAAAGGAACCGGCGCUUUGCUUUUGUGUGAAUUUAUCAUCCAUUUCUGAGGACCCACGUUGCAUAAAAGUUUACCUGUAUUAAGUUACGUUUCGGUGCUUUACCUACAUAUUUUCCUAUGUGAAUUAAAUAGAAAUUUAGUGAUUUGAUCGCGCUUGCCAUUAAUUUCAAAGACGGAAGUUCGGAGCUUUGAAAAUGUUGUUAAGCCAAACAGUCCUUCAUAUAAAGACUACAGCUAUUAUAUUGAAUAUUAUUUUAUUAGGGAGUCUAGAAUAAAGCCACAAAUGGGACGACUGUUCCAAAUCAAAGCUGAUAAUUUUCCAAUUGUGGAGUUGUUUCACAGCCUUCUAAAUGAACAGUUUAUUUCAACUCAACCUGCCAUCUUCAUCUCAAAUGUGACUAUACUGUGAGUAGGUUCUCUGGACUAAUGUUUUUUUAAAGUACGCGGAAGCAAUAAUCUAGCUAAUGUGAAACGCACAAAUGAAGACUAAGUUUACAGCUAAAACAAAUCUUAUAUUUCGACUUGGAAAUAUUGAGUUACUAUAGUGUAGUACACGUACAUGUAUAUUCAUAUAGAUUACUCCUGUCAAUGACAUACAUGCUGUGUGUUCUUUGUGUGAUCUUCAUAUGUAAUUAAAAUGUUUCUUUCAAGGAAAAUAAUUCUGUUUUUAUUCCAGACUUUGCUUUUUACAUACAUGUAUUGCUUUUUGUGUUCAAAACAAAACGUUAAAGAAUUUUGACAAUUGUUGAAGACAUCUUAAUAUGCCUUUUAAUGUUUUUGUCUAUCUGCUGAUGUCUCUUUCAAAUCACAGUUCAAUAAAAAUAGUUCACGAAUUGUGUCAAUUCAAGUCUGUUAUAUCAAUUUUCAAAAGAUGUUUCCUUUUCGUUCCAGAUAGCUGUAGAUAUGAAUGGUUAGUUAACUGGCCAAUAGACAGAUGAACGUACAUCAUGAUAGAUAAGCCGUCAUAUAUAAAAUUUAAGAACACUAGUGAUGUACAUCUUUUUUUUUAAUCACAGCUUCAAUAUGUUCAAACUAUGUUUACUGUUUGUCGGACUUGUUGUCCUUGUUUCUGGUAUGUCCUCUUUUUGCUAAUUAUAUAUGCUCUUCAAAGUCUUUAACUUGUUUAUACAAUUCAUUUACAGAAACCAUCUAUUCUUAUAUAAAGGUUUGUCAUUAAUGAUGAAAUAGUGUGUCAGUAUGUGUCUCAACAUGUCAAGAUCUCAACCCACACAGGCUUUUAAGCUUAAGAUAUAAUUCAUUUAAAAAUUGGAUUAAGGCUAAUAUUUUAAGACAGAAAAUUCUAUAAUAUAUAAAGUACACUUGGAAAAAUAUGAUAAUACUUCUAUCUUUAUUUCUUUAGGAACGGAAGGAGGUAUGUUUUUCAUUAUUGUCAUUAUCAUUAGCAUUAGCGUUAUCAUUUUAAAGAUUCAAUUGAAGAUCUAGACACUUGAGGAAACGCGGAUAUAUAAAUCUGAUUGAAUAUGUGAUUGGUUGUUGUGUCAUAAGUUAACUAAAUGUGGAAAAAUAUGGAAAACGAAAACAUUUUGCUGAAUUGUGUAUUUUUCCAACUAUUUAGUGAAACCAUCAAAUAAAUAAUGGAAAAUGAGGAUAACAAAUAGACAACUUUUGAGGUUCGAUGCAAUACCGUCAAAAACUUUGGAUUUACUGAACAUCAUUCAUGAGGGGGUAGGAGGGGUCCUGAUCCCGAAAUCCCGGGCUUAAAAAACGCGAAAUCCCGAGGUCCCGAAAUUCGAAAAAAAGAAUUCCCGGAUCCCGCAAUUGUCAAUCCAGAAAUCCCGAGCUUAAACACACCCGAUCCCGGCGUCCCGAUAAAGUUCCUAUCCCUUCAUUCAUGUGUUUAUGGGCAUCGUCACUUCCGUUCGAAUGUUGAUCGAGUUGUUUGAAAACUAUGAUGAUAUCUUGCACCAAUUAUUCGCCAUUGAAUUUUCAAAAUUUUCAAUCAGUCAUUGUGAUUAAGCACCUACAGAACAAACAGUAUUUCUAGUUUACCCUGUAUAAUGAGAUCUGUAAGACGCUUAAUGGACGAUAAUAGUGUAGCGAUACAGGCGAUCAACUCUAUUUGGUAAAUGACGUCAUAAAGUCGCGUAUAAUUGAUGAGUAUUUUCCGGUGACAAGAUAGGAUAAGAAGUAACAAACGACAACCCCUAGAUAUAGGCUCACUUUGAAGAUGUGAUUUCAUACAAGUUUGCAAUUAAUAAACCUGAGGUAUGACAAAGACGUUAAUACGACAUCAAGAUAAAAUAAUUUUCCAUAUUAAAAAUCAGUUGAAUCAUCAAAAACACAACUUCCAAAAUAAUAUAAUGAAAGCUAGUUCGAAGUCAUUAACAACUACUAAAAAUAUUAUGGUGUCCAGACUAAAAUAUCAAAAUGGUAUUGCUAACAUAGAAAUAGUCAACAAAUGUCCUUUUGAUCUUUUUUAGGAUUUUUUUACUUUUCUAUUGUAUUCGAUUGUAUAUCAAAAUCAAGGUUUAUUUACUUUAUAUAGUAAAGUCUAUUUAUUUCUCUUUACUAGAUAUUAAACUAAAAAGUAUUCGAGAAAAAAUGAACUUUUAAUUGUGAAAUUUGUCAUUUUAAGACUUCGAAAAAAAGAGACUUGUAAAGCAUUGGUACUUUCUAUAACAAAUAUUUCUAUUAAACUUGUGAACUUUUUUCUAUUCGAAGCACCACAGAAGAGAUUGACAUGUGAAGUUGGAAGUUUUAGUUUCUUUGGUUUCCAACUUGGGUCGUCUGUUUGCAAGGCUCAUUGUCAGUAUUUGGGACAUUCAGAUGCAUAUUGUGAUAGCCACAAUGUGUGUCAUUGUCGAUAAAGAAGGUCAGUUUAUAGUAUUUUCAUAGUUCAUAGAUGUUUUAUUGACGAAUAAUUUUAAAAUAUGUUGGCAUAGUACGAAAUGUUUUCUAUAAAAAAUGAAUUCUCUUAAACUUUUAAUUACUACACGAGAAAUAUAAUUGUACAUUGCUCUGCUGUGUAUUGGUGUCGGUAAUGGUAAAAAUGUUUGUCAACUCCUCUGUCCAUAUCGUAAACUUCCAGAUGUGUGAUUUCUAGUUUCGAAAAUGAGGCCAUUUCAAGUAUGAGGUUAAAUUUUUUCGUAGUUAAGUGUUCCCCGAAAAGUCGCUUAAAAACUUUAGUAAGAAAAUGACUUUAUAAAAAAACUACACAUUUCACGACUGCAUUACAUAAUCAUCAGAUUUAGAUUUUGUUUCCAAAAGUGUACUUUUUGACAUAGUGAUGGUGCAAAUCUCAUGUGCAACCCUAGCUCCUCCUUUCAUGUACUCGGCCUUAAACCAGGGAAAUGGCGAGAAUAAGAGUAUUCACAGCUACGUUUUCAUACUUCCCAGACAGACAUACAAAGAUAUUCAAAGGAUCAAGUAUCAAGACGCAAUCAAAGUAGUAUCAACUUAUGUCAGAUGCAAAUUUCGGCAACUUAUUCCAUUCAAAUGUUUUCCAUUCAAACGUGUUUAGUCUGAUUUUGGCGUGUGAAUUUUCUCAAUUCAUCUGUUGACUUGUACAGCUGGCUUUGAUCACAGACAAAUUUCAAAGUGAUUUAAGAAUUUUAUUCUCACAAUAACCAAUGCAGGCUUACAGCUAACUAUUAAAUCCAAGUGACAUCACACAUAUAACCAUUUCUUAGAAUUGAGUAGUUAACGUAUAACUUUUAUAAUCAAAGAAUUUUUGGAUGAUCAGACAUAUUUAUCUCCAGUCAACACUUGUAAAAUUAUUCACUAUAUAUCUACAAUCUUGUUCAAUGUCUUUUCAGAUAACUCGAUGGAAUGGUGGGAUACACGAAGUACAAAUGAUGAAUAAAGUAGCAUAACA
This 36829-nucleotide long non-coding RNA is filed under the name Mytilus galloprovincialis (Mediterranean mussel). Lineage: Eukaryota; Metazoa; Mollusca; Bivalvia; Mytilida; Mytilidae. The record is from RNAcentral.